CACAGCCAGCUUGUUACGCCGCGGUGACUGCGUACAGCCCGCAGAGCCGCUAGUUAGGGAGACGCAGGGCCUCGGCUCCCAAAUAAACCGAAACUCUGCAAAGCAUUGGAGCUCAAGCUCACCAGAUCAAGAUGUUCAGGGGGCUCUGAGUUUGAGUUAAGGCUGAGGAUAAGGCGGUGGGGGCGGGCGCCCUGAAAUAACCCCAGGAUCAACCUCUGAAUUUGGCAAACGUCUGGGCAGGCUGGAUGAACUUGAACAUCUUGAUCCCGGGGCUGCUGUGUGCUGAGGUCCACAAAGUUUAAUUACGAUAGCAACUAAAUUCCCAUUGACAGGAUAUAUAAUAUUUCAGACUAGUGUGCCCUGGAUGAAACUGUGAACUGCUGACUAGAAUCAUCUUUUAACUAGAUGUACACCAUGGCACAAAUCAGCCAACUGGACUGCUUAUCCGGCUCCUGAAUCAGAAUUCAGGGUCUGCUUAGCAGCACCUAGAUGAAUUUGGCAGAAAAAGAACCAGAGCUAAUUAUCUUGCAAUCAUGAAGCUGAGAGAAAAACUUAAAGACAGAACUGAAGAGAGAGAGAAACAGGGAGCCAAUGCCACUCAACCAGCAAAGGCACUGUCAGGAGUGGUGAGGAGACAGUUGGAGAAGGCUGCUGAGGCAGUGAAGGGACAGUUGAAAGACUGGAAAGAGGAAAAAAUCACGUUAGUGGAGGCUGGAAAGGCAAUGAAGAAAUUUUUGGAGACUAGGAAAGACGAACACAAAGAAGCCAAAAAAUAGGGUGGAGUUUGCCUGAGUUUUCACACAGCCCCAACUGUGCUUAGAAGUCUCAGAGUGGAGAUCCUACUAUGGAAAUACUGUUACAAUGAAGGCAUAAUGAAAUGCAGGGUCAAAUUUCAGUCAAAUCAAUUGCCACCUUCACUUGCCUCUGAUUCCCCCUCUUUGCCCACUCAUCCUACUUCCUUAUCU
This is a long non-coding RNA of Fukomys damarensis (Damara mole-rat), 965 nucleotides long. RefSeq lists it as uncharacterized. The record is from RefSeq and is a predicted model, not a curated record. NCBI's taxonomy places the organism in Eukaryota, Metazoa, Chordata, Mammalia, Rodentia, Bathyergidae. The transcript is spliced from 6 exons.